CAAACCAAAGCUGGCGACCGGCGCACGGGUGAGUAACACGUAUCCAACCUGCCUCAUACUCGGGGACAGCCUUUCGAAAGAAAGAUUAAUAUCCGAUAGCAUAUAUUUCCCGCAUGGGUUUUAUAUUAAAGAAAUUCGGUAUGAGAUGGGGAUGCGUUCCAUUAGUUUGUUGGGGGGUAACGGCCCACCAAGACUACGAUGGAUAGGGGUUCUGAGAGGAAGGUCCCCCACAUUGGAACUGAGACACGGUCCAA
Molecule: ribosomal RNA, 254 nt
Filed under: uncultured bacterium
Lineage: Bacteria
Description: partial 16S ribosomal RNA
Rfam family: Bacterial small subunit ribosomal RNA
Source: RNAcentral